AUUGAACGCUGGCGGAAUGCUUUACACAUGCAAGUCGAGCGGCAGCGCGGCCUUCGGGCUGGCGGCGAGCGGCGAACGGGUGAGUAAUGCAUCGGAACAUGCCCAGUCGUGGGGGAUAACACUUCGAAAGAAGUGCUAAUACCGCAUACGUCCUGAGGGGGAAAGCGGGGGAUCGCAAGACCUCGCGCGAUUGGAGUGGCCGAUGUCAGAUUAGCUAGUUGGUGGGGUAAAGGCCUACCAAGGCGACGAUCUGUAGCUGGUCUGAGAGGAUGAUCAGCCACACUGGGACUGAGACACGGCCCAGACUCCUACGGGAGGCAGCAGUGGGGAAUUUUGGACAAUGGGGGCAACCCUGAUCCAGCCAUUCCGCGUGAGUAAAGAAGGCCUUCGGGUUGUAAAGCUCUUUCGGCAGGAACGAAACGGUGGGCUCUAACAUAGUCCGCUAAUGACGGUACCUGAAGAAGAAGCACCGGCUAACUACGU
RNAcentral lists this ribosomal RNA (483 nucleotides) under uncultured bacterium. RNAcentral's name for it is "partial 16S ribosomal RNA". It matches the Rfam family "Bacterial small subunit ribosomal RNA", at positions 30 to 506 of the family's 1533-position model. The record is from RNAcentral.